GUGCUUGCUUUGACAUCAUAUAUAUUCGACAGCACAUAAAGUUGGAAUGAUACAGUGAAGAUUAGCAUGGCCCCUGUACAAGGAUGACACGCAAAUUUGUGAAGUGUUCCAUAUUUUU
Dipodomys ordii (Ord's kangaroo rat) is the source of this 118-nucleotide small nuclear RNA. The record is from Ensembl. NCBI's taxonomy places the organism in Eukaryota, Metazoa, Chordata, Mammalia, Rodentia, Heteromyidae.